RNAcentral lists this ribosomal RNA (253 nucleotides) under uncultured bacterium. RNAcentral's name for it is "partial 16S ribosomal RNA". It matches the Rfam family "Bacterial small subunit ribosomal RNA", at positions 524 to 776 of the family's 1533-position model. The record is from RNAcentral.
UACGGGGGGAGCAAGCGUUGUUCGGAUUUACUGGGCGUAAAGGGCGCGUAGGCGGCGUGACAAGUCACUUGUGAAAUCUCCGGGCUUAACCCGGAGCGGCCAAGUGAUACUGUCGUGCUAGAGUGCGGAAGGGGCUACUGGAAUUCUCGGUGUAGCGGUGAAAUGCGUAGAUAUCGAGAGGAACACCUGCGGCGAAGGCGGGUAGCUGGGCCGACAUUGACGCUGAUGAGCGAAAGCUAGGGGAGCAAACGGG